GUCAGUGUGGCAUAGUGGUUAGAGUGUCAGACCAAGACUUGGGAAACCAGGGUUCAAAUUCCUACUCUGCCA
Podarcis lilfordi (Lilford's wall lizard) is the source of this 72-nucleotide non-coding RNA. The record is from the annotation of a GenBank genome assembly. Lineage: Eukaryota; Metazoa; Chordata; Lepidosauria; Squamata; Lacertidae.